RNAcentral lists this ribosomal RNA (434 nucleotides) under uncultured bacterium. Its description in RNAcentral is "partial 16S ribosomal RNA". It matches the Rfam family "Bacterial small subunit ribosomal RNA", at positions 29 to 507 of the family's 1533-position model. The record is from RNAcentral.
AACGAACGCUGGCGGCAGGCCUAACACAUGCCAGUCGAACGAACCUUUCGGGGUUAGUGGCGGACGGGUGAGUAACACGUGGGAACGUGCCUUUAGGUUCGGAAUAACUCAGGGAAACUUGUGCUAAUACCGAAUGUGCCCUUCGGGGGAAAGAUUUAUCGCCUUUAGAGCGGCCCGCGUCUGAUUAGCUAGUUGGUUGAGGUAAUGGCUCACCAAGGCGACGAUCAGUAGCUGGUCUGAGAGGAUGAUCAGCCACAUUGGGACUGAGACACGGCCCAAACUCCUACGGGAGGCAGCAGUGGGGAAUCUUGCGCAAUGGGCGAAAGCCUGACGCAGCCAUGCCGCGUGAAUGAUGAAGGUCUUAGGAUUGUAAAAUUCUUUCACCGGGGACGAUAAUGACGGUACCCGGAGAAGAAGCCCCGGCUAACUUCGUG